This 253-nucleotide ribosomal RNA is filed under the name uncultured bacterium. RNAcentral's name for it is "partial 16S ribosomal RNA". It matches the Rfam family "Bacterial small subunit ribosomal RNA", at positions 524 to 776 of the family's 1533-position model. RNAcentral also lists the same sequence under 1 other name. The record is from RNAcentral.
UACAGAGGGUGCGAGCGUUAAUCGGAUUUACUGGGCGUAAAGCGUACGUAGGCGGCUUUUUAAGUCGGAUGUGAAAUCCCUGAGCUUAACUUAGGAAUUGCAUUCGAUACUGGGAAGCUAGAGUAUGGGAGAGGAUGGUAGAAUUCCAGGUGUAGCGGUGAAAUGCGUAGAGAUCUGGAGGAAUACCGAUGGCGAAGGCAGCCAUCUGGCCUAAUACUGACGCUGAGGUACGAAAGCAUGGGGAGCAAACAGG